CCCUUAGAUGUUCUGGGCUGCACGCGCGCUACACUGAAGCUAUCAACACGUUUUCCCUCCCUGAGAAGGGCGGGUAACCUUUUGAAUCAGCUUCGUGGUAGGGACCGGGGCUUGCAAUUGUUCCCCGUGAACCAGGAAUUCCUAGUAGACGCGAGUCAUAAGCUCGCAUCGAUUAAGUCCCUGCCCUUUGUACACACCGCCCGUCGCUACUACCGAUUGAACGUUUUAGUGAGGCAUUUGGACCGACGCAUCUCAGUUUAACCGCUGGUUUGUGUUGGAAAGACUUCCAAACUUGAGCGUUUAGAGGAAGUAAAAGUCGUAACA
RNAcentral lists this ribosomal RNA (324 nucleotides) under uncultured eukaryote. Its description in RNAcentral is "partial 18S ribosomal RNA". It matches the Rfam family "Eukaryotic small subunit ribosomal RNA", at positions 1470 to 1796 of the family's 1831-position model. The record is from RNAcentral.